GAACUAUGUUGAGGAUUGGGAGUGACCACAGAAGACACCGGGUUAAAGGUUAUUUUAAGUGUUUAUUUCACGUACACUCAGUGUAUCACAGUCAGUGAAUAAGUCUCAUCAUGAAACAUUAAACUGCGCGCAUGCAAAUAAAGACAAAUAUUCAAAGACACACAAUGAUCUGAUAUCUUGCCCUUGCCUUUGAAAGUGAUUCUGAACUAACGACAGACACACACACACACAGACACACACACACACACACACAGACACACACAGACACACACACAGACAAAGCAGGCAGGCGCGCGUGCACGUCUCUGCCCAAACCAAACUAGGACACGAGCACACCCGCAUAGUUGUGGCUAUAACUAUUAUUUCAAUGAGCAUUUUUAAAAACAGGCUAAACACGUCAUUAUUAUCUGCAGUAUGACUUUGUAAUGUUUGCUUGAGAUCUCUUUGGUGAGUUGCUAAUUUAAUAAAACGCCAAAUUCAUUUUCUGCUCGAGACAAUCCAAUUAAUCAAAGAGCAAAAUGCUGAUGAGAUACAGUCAGUAUUGUAGCUACGUAGGCUGUUUACUGUAGCCUCAAUAAAUCCGUGGCUUCUUAAGAUGUAAAAUGUUGUAGGGAAAUGUGGAAUCUUUGUAAGCGUGGUGGCUUUUUAUGCAAAAAAUAAAAAUCAACUCAACCAUGUUUGACUUGCAAAUAAUUCGACUAUGCAAAUAAUUCACUAUUAUACCCGGUGCGGUUGAUUAUGUGUUCAGGCUAUAGCGGGGAUCAGCAUCUCCUAAAGUUUGUGCACGCAGCGGUGUCUUAGUAUUUGUAUUCUUUUGUGCUAACUGCGGGUUUGUUUGCACCGGAUCAAUGUCCUAAAGCGUACACACUGCAGCACAGUAAGGCCCAACAUAACACAUGACACACGGAACGAGGGGGAUUUUUUUUAACUAAACACAACUUUAAGGAGUAAAACACAUGAAUCAUGCGGGUUAUAAAAUGUCCGUUAAAAACUUCAUUGUUUGAGCAAAUAAAUAAAUAAAUCCACGCAAACAGAUUAACGAGUCACAUUGGGCUUUUAAUUCCAACAACGUUUGAACAUUUUGUCCAGUGCGUGAUAUCACAACAACAUUUGUUUUCGCGUGUAUUAAUUAAGUAAUUAGUUAUUAUUAGUAAUUAGUAAUUGAGUAACUAUGAGGAAUGUAAUUAUAGUUAUUCAGUCAAUCUCACUAUGUCCUUGUUUCAUUAGUACUAUUAUACAUUAGUAUCUUAUAAAUAUCGUUGCCUGGUUUCGGCUGCAGCUCGGUAUUUGUUUACGUUGUUGCUCUGUGACCUUUAGCCUGUUAAAGUAAAGGUUUUCACCUGAACCUAACAAAUUUAAACUUUUACAACAAUAGUUGUGGAAAAGAUUCGAGACAAAUGAACUUUUUUUUUUUUAAUGUCUGUUCUUGAAUAGAUACGUGCAAAACCCGCAUUAAUUUUGACAACCGGGCCAUAGUUAAAUCACAUGCCCGCUCUUUUGGCCAACAUUAAAACAUCCAGAAGAAUAAAUAAUAAUUAAAAAAAGCUAGUAAAGCUGUUGAUUCCAGAUUUAUACUAUACUGAAACCACAUGUGACGCAGCGAUUCAGAAACUUCGUGAAAAUAACACAGGAUAUGUGUGUAGAACAAUAGCUCAGGUAUGCAAUGAAUUGUUUAUUAGGCUGUAAGAUGUUUUGCGUCAACAGUUAAAAGAAGAAGAAGAAAACUUUAUGCUUGACGUAAUUCUGUGUGGGUUCCCUUUUACACCGCAAUAAUAAAUAUCCUUGCAGGCCCUUGCAUUCACUAUCGCACAAAUCUCACCGCCUAGUUCAUGUUUUUGCAGCACAUUUCAAUGAAGAGCACAGCCAAGUGCGGCUCCAUGAGUUAGCCUGAUCUACUUCAAAACAACUCAUUUUAAAAAACAAAAUAAUAUGUGUUUGCUUUUUAACGAAUUCUGCGAGAGUAGUAAAGUCAUGUGAAGAAAUAUUUUAACAUAAGAGUCCAAUUAAAAGAUCAGGCCGAGCUUAAGUAUUUUCGUAAAUAAUACAUGAAAAGUGCUGCAGUGAAUCUACAAAGUGAUGUCAGUAAAACGCAUUUAGGAUUGCACCGCAGUCUGAAAUUUAGCAGGUCAAAUGCAAAAACGUUUACUUUUUUUUUAAGGCUGCUUCACAACGUCAAGGGUUAAAAUCUACUCUGCAGUUUGGCGAUUCUUUCACAUUAAAACUUAAAUACAAUAAACAUUUCUGUUAUGAUUUUCUGUUCAAUAACACACCUGCGGACAUCUUACCUUGCUAAAUUGGUGGCAACCACAAAGUAAAAUCGAUAAAAACAAACAUUUCAAAAAAAUACUGACACAAAUUGCACUCUGUCUUAUGACAAAUCCUCGAUGGUCUCAUCUCCACAGCACUGGCGCCGGAAAAAAUGGAAAUCACACGCUGACUAAUUGAAUUUGGGGGAGUUCUGAAGUUAAACAGAAUUAAAAUAAUCAAAAGCCACGUAGUGAGUGCCUUCAAAAAAAAAAAAAUCUCUGCUGCAGUAAGCCGUCCUUUGUUCCCCCUCUGGUGUGGGGCCUGCUGUCCUGACAGGCGGAUGGUCGCUGGGUGGCGCUCUUGCUCCAUCAAAAAGCCUCCAGAUUUCCCAACUUGACCGCGCUUACGUCACGUCAGUCUGGAGCAUCAAGGCCACUUCCACGCCGCUAUUGGUCUGAAAAUCACAUGACAUGUCUCCCAGCAUCCAUAAUUAUGUUACUGAUAUUUUUGCACCCCCCUCCAAAAGAUGUCAGCAUCCUACUGUCCUUAUUCUCCUGGCGAAAUCCCGUAGUCCAGACCAGUGGAACACACUAAACGAUUAACUGUGUUGCCAAAUGCAAAAAUGUCAUGUCCGAAUAACAUAGCUCCCGGUAACUUCCUGAUGGAUUCCUUAAUGGGAGGAUCAUCUUCCUUCAGGGGUGAGGGUUAUUCCAGCAACCCCGGAAUGUACAUCCACACAGCAGCCGCAGAGUACGGAUAUUCAGUGAUGAGAAACAUUGGGAAGAUUGGACCAUCUUCACUCUCCAAAAGAGACGAGGUUCCUCCGGCCGGUCUGGCGCUCAGCGGCUUCCAGGAUGCGCCCUACCUGUCAACACAGCUGGCCACAUGGACCCCAGGCUCCAAAACCAGUAGGGACGAACAACCUGUUGCCCAGUGUUUACAACCCUGCUCGUUUCCAGCGGGCAACGUCAAAGAGGAGGCGUUUUGUUGCCUCUAUCAGGAUGACAGCAAUAAGGGGAAGCAGACAACAGAGUCAGCUACUUACAUCCGGCUUGGGGACAAUAGCUGCCGGCCAGAGCAAACUGCAGCCUCUUCCAGCGGCUGUUUCCAGGUGUACAACGGCGAGAGGCCGCAACAGGACGAUCAGCAGUACCCCUCGGGCUUCUCUCUGACCCACUUGGCGACAUCUGUUGAGUCAGCAUCAGAAUCAACAAUAAGUUGCAGCAAAUCGACGCAGGAGACAGCAUCGAGAGAGGUUUCAAAUACAGAUGAGAGUCAGAGGAGGAAGGAAGAGAAGGCCAAGAGUGACAGCUGUUCAGAUAACUCGGACGGAGAAUUAAAAGAUGAUUUAUCCACGGAAAAGACAACGGGAAGCUGGUUAAAAGCCAAAAGUGGAAGGAAGAAGCGGUGUCCCUACACAAAGCACCAGACGCUGGAGCUGGAGAAGGAGUUCUUGUUCAACAUGUAUCUGUCUCGGGAGCGCCGCCUGGAGAUCAGCCGGAGUAUCAACCUGACCGACAGACAGGUCAAGAUCUGGUUCCAAAACAGACGCAUGAAGCUCAAGAAGCUCAACAGGGAGAGCCGAGAACGGGAGCACAGUGCAGUUUAUAACUACUCCUGAAGAUUGUUUUAACCCACACUCACACUCAUAUUCACGCAUACACUCAUACGCAUGCACACACACACGCACACACACACACACACACGCACACACAUGCAUAUCCAUAGACAAGACAGGCAAAGAUCAUGCAUGUGUUAUCUUUUAAUGCAUUUAAUUAUCAUUUAUCAGUUUAUACAUUAUGUGCACACACUCAUACAAACACACACACAAACACACACACACAUACACACGGCGUGCCUUCCUAUAAGAACUAUAAAAACCUGCAGACUGGAGGUGAACACGUGCAGCAGCACUGGAACAGUGAUGUGUUAUUACCUAGCAAUGAUAAUUAUAAUACAACAUGAGCCAAACGAAGGGAGGCUCAAGCAGUCUAUAAACUACUCGUGGCAUGUAAGCAGUUUCACUUUGCUGAGCUAUAAUGAAUGUUUGCCACUUGUGCAGCUUCUUCGUUGGUGUCUGUUGCUCUGGCAUAUUCCUGCCGUGUAAUGUGCAGACAGAUAUUAGGCUCUGUCAUGGCAAACGAUUCCAAAAUAAUAAAAGGAGGGGGAAACGGAAAGGUAUUACCAACUUUGUCCUUCCCCUGGUAUAGUGGUGCAAAUGAGAGGGAGGGAGAGACACUGCGGAUGAGAGAAGGAGAUUAUGGCACUUUUAAUAGAAGUGAGAGACCAUAACGUUGAUUUAAAUAUUAUCCAGGUGACCACAGUAAGUCAAGGUCAUAAAAUUCUAAUGUCAGGUUCGCCCUGGAAAGCGUUGGGGGUGGAUUUUAUGAUCUGCAAAUAUAAUGUGCUGCAGCAGUAAAGAUGCGUUUAAAGGUGUGUGUGGAGGAGGGCUAAUCCACACAGCAAAGACUGCAAUGUGCAGGAUCCCAGCCGAGGCGCUGGGCUGGAAGGAGCAGCCGCCUCCAACCCGGGAUAAUGGAGUUUCAUGGAAGCAUGGAGAUAAGAAAGAUGGUGGAUAAAAGGAAGAGCGACCGCGACGGCUACAGGAACAAUAAUAACAAGCAUCCCGGCAAACACGUGGAUAACUAAACGCACGGGGGAGGACGUCUGCAGGAAGCAGGUGAAGCCCCCCUCCUUUCUUUGGCGGUAGUGCAACUGGAAGAGACAGUCUGGAAUCCAAAGUCACUUUCAUUCAGCUCAGUGAAUGAGUGUCUCCCUUGGAAUGCAUCGCUGACAAAGACUUUACAGCGCUGGAAACAGCCCCGAGAGCUGCACAGAUUCACCCUAAAACCAUAUACACAUAAAGCAAUUUAUUUCACUUUGUAGUGGCGCACAGGAACUGAUGGCUUUAGACAGAUACUUCCUUGGCGAGCAGCUCACAAUGUGUUAGUGCCACUGGCGUGAUCAGACGUGAAGCAAAUAUUCUAACUAUUCUUUUUUAUUAUUUUUUUAUUUUUCACGUAUAGUAUUAGGUUUUUCUUGUGACAUAUAGGAUGCAAUUGGGACUUUAUGUGUAAAGAUUUCUUUUAAAGUGUAAGUGAAUAAUGAUUAAAUUUAGGAGAUAAGUGACAUUAACUUUUAUUUUCUUGGAUUUUGCUUUUAUUAUUUUGAACUUUGCUUGCCAAAUAAUGCUCUAAAUGUAGCUUUUUAAAGAAUGUUUAUAUAUUUUAAAAUGUCAAUUAAAAGGCUAUAACAUAUAUCCGCCGUACAUAGUUUGGAGCUGUUAUCGUCCAAACAGAAACAACAUUUAUGCUAUAAAAUGUGCUUUUUUUUUACAUUUAAGGGAUCAUUAUCAUUGUCCCACAUCAAUUACCUCGCCUUUUUAACCAAGAAAAACUGCACUAUAGGACGAGAAUGUAAAAUGUUUAUCACUGCGGCAGGCCUGGUCAGCAAGAGGAAUAUCCAUAUUGAUCCGAAUCUUGUUAUGUUGAAAAACGGAAAAUGUUUUUUGAUUCAAAUAAAAGAGAGUUUAAUCAGUUUGAAGGGAGACUGUAUAAUUGAUCAAGAAGCAUGUUUGGACUGUGUGAAACAGUAAUAUGUUGCGGUUAUCCUCGAUGGAGAAGACUAAUACAGUUUGGAUUGUGCGGAUAAUUUUGUGGCCUCUCGGCUCAUCAUACUGUAACUCUUGGUUGUGCGGUGCUUUCUGUUCAGCACAUGUGUAGUUAUAAAUAAAGUGUGAUAUCCGCUUUGAUUCUUCCUUAUGCAAAGUUUACGGUCUAAAUAAUGCCUUUGGAUAAACUCCCAAUUUGGUUACACUACAGUUUGCAUAUGUUGGGUGUGUCUGUUUGUGUGUGUGUGUGAGAGACAGAGACAGAAAGUUGUGUUUGAUCUGGAGGUUCAUGGGCAAAUUUACUCUGCUUUUUUGUUGUGAAUGUUUCUUGUAGAAAAUUACAUUUGACUGGUCUCUCCCCGUUAUGAAAAGAAUAGACAGUGCUACCUACCCUGUCAUUACGCAACAGCCAGCCACUGUAAGUGUCUAAUAAAAGAAAGUCAUGUUGAAACGCAUAGCUGAACUCGUUCGUUCAUUAUUCAUCCAACCAUCAAUGACACAAACUGGUUGUGCUGACUGAAGUUAAAACAAACAAACUUUACACUCCCUUGACAAUGAAAAUGAAUCAUCACCUCAACAUCCGUAUGAGAUUAUUUGAUGUUGAGAUCAGCCUGUCGAGCUCUGCUUUUCUGUUGGCUCCAUAAUUAUAAGGAUACAAAUGAAGAGUCAUCUGCACUCUGGCUCAAUCAACCAUGCGCACAUAUUUACUGUG
Molecule: RNA transcript, 6569 nt
Organism: Larimichthys crocea (large yellow croaker)
Lineage: Eukaryota; Metazoa; Chordata; Actinopteri; Sciaenidae
Gene: hoxc10a
Gene name: homeobox C10a
Exons: 3
Source: RefSeq, a predicted model, not a curated record